AAGACCUUGCGCUUUUGGAGCGGCCGAUGUCUGAUUAGCUAGUUGGUAGGGUAAUGGCCUACCAAAGCUUCGAUCAGUAGCUGGUCUGAGAGGACGACCAGCCACACUGGGACUGAGACACGGCCCAGACUCCUACGGGAGGCAGCAGUGGGGAAUUUUGGACAAUGGGCGCAAGCCUGAUCCAGCCAUGCCGCGUGAGUGAAGAAGGCCUUCGGGUUGUAAAGCUCUUUCAGCCGGGAAGAAAGGGCUACGACGAAUAAUCGUAGCUCAUGACGGUACUGGAAGAAGAAGCACCGGCUAACUACGUGCCAGCAGCCGCGGUAAUACGUAGGGUGCGAGCGUUAAUCGGAAUUACUGGGCGUAAAGGGUGCGCAGGCGGUUUUGUAAGUCAGAUGUGAAAUCCCCGGGCUUAACCUGGGAACU
Molecule: ribosomal RNA, 423 nt
Filed under: uncultured bacterium
Lineage: Bacteria
Description: bacterial SSU rRNA
Rfam family: Bacterial small subunit ribosomal RNA
Source: RNAcentral